This 415-nucleotide ribosomal RNA is filed under the name uncultured prokaryote. RNAcentral describes it as "bacterial SSU rRNA". It matches the Rfam family "Bacterial small subunit ribosomal RNA", at positions 505 to 918 of the family's 1533-position model. The record is from RNAcentral.
GUGUCAGCAGCCGCGGUAAAACGUAGGAGGCUAGCGUUAUCCGGAUUUACUGGGCGUAAAGCGCGUGCAGGCGGUGUUCUAAGUUGGGCAUAAAAUCUCCCGGCUCAACUGGGAGGGGCUGUCCAAUACUGGGGCACUUGAGGGUAGGAGAGGGAAGUGGAAUUCCCGGUGUAGCGGUAAUAUGCGCAGAUAUCGGGAGGAACACCAGUGGCGAAGGCGGCUUCCUGGUCUACACCUGACGCUAAGACGCGAAAGCGAGGGGAGCGAACGGGAUUAGAUACCCCGGUAGUCCUAGCUGUAAACGAUGGAUACUAGGUGUUGGUGGUAUUGACCCCAUCAGCGCCGAAGCUAACGCGUUAAGUAUCCCGCCUGGGGACUACGACCGCAAGGUUAAAACUUAAAUGAAUUGACGGGG